MicroRNA precursor from Chlorocebus sabaeus (green monkey), 100 nucleotides. The record is from Ensembl. Lineage: Eukaryota; Metazoa; Chordata; Mammalia; Primates; Cercopithecidae.
ACGCCCAGCGUGCGGUGGUAAGCGCCGUGCAGCACGGUCUGCGCGUUGUCGUGCCACACCAAUAACUUGAGCGAGUCCCACUCCAGGCACCACGAGUAGG